CACACCCUCCGCUCCCCCUUUCUUUGCCGAAGGGAGGAGCGGGUCCUGAGCGGGAAGAGCCCCUAGCCGGGUUCACCCCUCUAAAGUGGAAUGACAGCGGUCCGCCUGCCCGUGAAAGACGUAGUAAGAUCUCAUCAGAAUCGUCCGCGAAGGGGAAGGAAGAGGCUUGCCUACAAAACUCAUCACAUCUGAAG
This 194-nucleotide unclassified non-coding RNA is filed under the name uncultured Orbiliales. RNAcentral describes it as "sequence contains ITS2". Lineage: Eukaryota; Fungi; Ascomycota; Orbiliomycetes; Orbiliales. The record is from RNAcentral.